Molecule: ribosomal RNA, 556 nt
Filed under: Plowrightia periclymeni
Lineage: Eukaryota; Fungi; Ascomycota; Dothideomycetes; Dothideales; Dothioraceae
Description: LSU rRNA
Rfam family: Eukaryotic large subunit ribosomal RNA
Source: RNAcentral
UAGCGGAGGAAAAGAAACCAACAGGGAUUGCCCUAGUAACGGCGAGUGAAGCGGCAAUAGCUCAAAUUUGAAAGCUGGCCUCUGGUCCGCAUUGUAAUUUGUAGAGGAUGCUUUUAGGCAGCCGCCGGUCUAAGUUCCUUGGAACAGGACGUCAUAGAGGGUGAGAAUCCCGUAUGUGACCGGCUCAGGCACCUUCUGUAAAGCUCCUUCGACGAGUCGAGUUGUUUGGGAAUGCAGCUCUAAAUGGGAGGUAAAUUUCUUCUAAAGCUAAAUACUGGCGAGAGACCGAUAGCGCACAAGUAGAGUGAUCGAAAGAUGAAAAGCACUUUGGAAAGAGAGUUAAAAAGCACGUGAAAUUGUUGAAAGGGAAGCGCUUGCAAUCAGACUUGGCUUAGAUUGUUCAACCGGUCUUCUGACCGGCCUAUUCAUUCUGAGCCAGGCCAGCAUCAGUUUCGGCGGCCGGAUAAAGGCCUUGGGAAUGUGGCCCUCCCUUCGGGGUGGGUGUUAUAGCCCAGGGUGUAAUACGGCCAGCCGGGACUGAGGUCCGCGAUUCGUC